GGGCUCAGCCACCUGCACAGCAAAGAUGUACAGAUGUGCCUGCAUGGUGAAGAAGCAGCCCCUUUGUUGAAGGUGCAAAUUCACUCAGCUGUGGUGAGCUCUGGUGAGCGCCUCACCACCAGAGCUGACCAUUUCACUGCAAGGUUUGUCCCAAGAAGGCUCGGACUACAUGAAAGGAGGCAGGAGCAGCUGUCUUCUGACUGUGACCACUUGCCAUGAUGUGGGAAUGGGCAUUGUUUCACCAGGACCUACAGCUUCAGCUUCAUCAUCUGCAGCAUCCCCACCUCAGCAGUAACACCCUGUGUGCACUCGUGCCUGAGCUGCCAUCCCGUGUGAUGUUCCUGGGGUACAUGUCCUUCACCCUAGGGAUUUGUGGUUCUCCAGUGGUGCAUGGCCCACAGACACAAAUGGGUCUCUUGAAGAGCAGCAGCUGCUGGCUGCCCAGAGAGGCAGUGGAGAAGCCUCCUGGACGUGGUCCUGGGCAACCUGCUCUGGGUGGCCAGCUUGAGCAAGGGUUGGGCCAGGUGACCUCCAGAGGUCCUUCGGCCAUCCUGCAAUUCUGUAUUUAAGGGGGAAAGCAGGACGUUGGAAGAGGAGUGAAUGCCUCAACACCUGAUAUCCCCUUUGCCAGUGUUGAGGCUGCUUUACUGAAAGCCCCUCCAUCGCCGCGGGAAGCUCUGCUGGUUUUGCUGCAUUUCCCCUGCUCGGUACAGGGCUGGAUGCGCUGAGCUGCGAGGUGUGAAGGAGCAUCCUGGAAGAGAAGGAAGCUAAAUAUAUUCUGCUACAAGAUUUCUUCCAUUCCUCUCUCCACCCCCAGAUCCCAGAGACUACAAUGGCUUAUGCAGGGCUUUACAUAUGCAGCAAAUGGUGGGGGAGGAAAAUUCCCACAGAUGAAGAUCUGAAGCCCAGCACCACCACC
Long non-coding RNA from Oxyura jamaicensis (ruddy duck), 919 nucleotides. RefSeq lists it as uncharacterized. Lineage: Eukaryota; Metazoa; Chordata; Aves; Anseriformes; Anatidae. The record is from RefSeq and is a predicted model, not a curated record. The transcript is spliced from 5 exons.